Long non-coding RNA from Sparus aurata (gilthead seabream), 2632 nucleotides. The record is from Ensembl. Lineage: Eukaryota; Metazoa; Chordata; Actinopteri; Spariformes; Sparidae.
AUGAAUUGUUUCCCCAGUUCUUCUACUUUCUUUACACUUAGAUUCUCUAUUUCUCUCUUUGUUAUAUUUGCAUCAACAACAGCAACAGCUCCUCCUCCUGCUGCUGCUGCUACUGCUAAUAAACUCAGCCCACCAGUGAGCGGAGUUGCGAGGAUUCCCAGUGCGAGGACUGUUCCUCCUACUGUUCUGGCUUUAUCUGUUGUUUCCUGCAUCUUUCUCACUUCAUCAGAGAUCUUGUUAAACUCUCUGACAAUCUCUCUCAUCUCUGAUUCUUUGAGGUCAAAUCCUUUGAUGAAUGAAGCUGCAUAUUUAAUAAUGUCGUUCAUUAAAUCAGUAAAACCAGGAGGGAGAUCUCUGCUCUCUCUUCUUCUUGGAGCAGAAGCCAUGUUCAGGAAGUCGUGUCAGCUGAUCACAGAGACUCUGUGGAGACAAAGAGAGAGAGACAGGUGAUACUCACACACAGGUGAUACUCACACACACAGGUGAUACUCACACACACAGGUGAUACUCACACACACAGGUGAUACUCACACACAGGUGAUACUCACACAGGUGAUACUCACACACAGGUGAUACUCACACACCACACAGGUGAUACUCACACACAGGUGAUACUCACACACAGGUGAUACUCACACACAGGUGACACUCACACACAGGUGAUACUCACACACAGGUGACACUCACACACAGGUGACACUCACACACAGGUGACACUCACACACAGGUGAUACUCACACAGGUGAUACUCACACAGGUGAUACUCACACAGGUGAUACUCACACAGGUGAUACUCACACACAGGUGAUACUCACACACAGGUGAUACUCACACAGGUGAUACUCACACACAGGUGAUACUCACACACAGGUGACACUCACACACAGGUGAUACUCACACACAGGUGAUACUCACACACAGGUGAUACUCACACAGGUGAUACUCACACACAGGUGACACUCACACACAGGUGACACUCACACACAGGUGACACUCACACACAGGUGAUACUCACACAGGUGAUACUCACACAGGUGAUACUCACACAAAGGUGAUACUCACACAGGUGAUACUCACACACAGGUGAUACUCACACAGGUGAUACUCACACACAGGUGAUACUCACACAGGUGAUACUCACACAGGUGAUACUCACACAACGGGUGAUACUCACACACAGGUGAUACUCACACACAGGUGACACUCACACACAGGUGAUACUCACACACAGGUGAUACUCACACAGGUGAUACUCACACAGGUGAUACUCACACACAGGUGAUACUCACACAGGUGAUACUCACACAGGUGAUACUCACACAAGGUGAUACUCACACACAGGUGAUACUCACACACAGGUGAUACUCACACAGGUGAUACUCACACAGGUGAUACUCACACACAGGUGACACUCACACACACAGGUGAUACUCACACACAGGUGAUACUCACACAGGUGAUACUCACACACAGGUGACACUCACACACAGGUGACACUCACACACAGGUGAUACUCACACAGGUGAUACUCACACACAGGUGAUACUCACACACAGGUGACACUCACACACAGGUGAUACUCACACACAGGUGAUACUCACACAGGUGAUACUCACACACAGGUGAUACUCACACAAAGGUGAUACUCACACAGGUGAUACUCACACACAGGUGAUACUCACACACAGGUGAUACUCACACAGGUGAUACUCACACACAGGUGAUACUCACACAGGUGAUACUCACACAGGUGAUACUCACACACAGGUGACACUCACACACAGGUGAUACUCACACAGGUGAUACUCACACAGGUGAUACUCACACACAGGUGAUACUCACACAGGUGAUACUCACACAGGUGAUACUCACACACAGGUGAUACUCACACACAGGUGAUACUCACACACACAGGUGAUACUCACACACAGGUGAUACUCACACAGGUGAUACUCACACAGGUGAUACUCACACACAGGUGAUACUCACACAGGUGAUACUCACACAGGUGAUACUCACACAGGUGAUACUCACACAGGUGAUACUCACACAGGUGAUACUCACACACAGGUGAUACUCACACACAGGUGAUACUCACACACAGGUGAUACUCACACACAGGUGAUACUCACACACACAGGUGAUACUCACACACACAGGUGAUACUCACACACAGGUGAUACUCACACACAGGUGAUACUCACACAGGUGAUACUCACACACAGGUGAUACUCACACAGGUGAUACUCACACAGUUAUUACAGAUAUAUGAUAGUGCUGCUAGCGAGCGUCGCGGCUCAGAUGGUGAAGCUGCAGCAUGUGUGUCGCCUGUCUGCUCUUUUCAUCAGGUUAUUUCAUGUUUCCUGCGUUGCUGUGAGAGACUGCAGCUGACUCUCUGUGGCUGUAAAGGAGGAAAGCUGCCUGCUGCCAUCUCACACAUACACAACCCCCAUUCACACAGUAUACACACAUAUACAAAUAGAGCUCCAUAAAAAGUGAACUCACCUUUGCUGGCCAGCAGUUCAUUUCUUCUUUUUGAUGAGGACGAUCGAAGGACACCGUUGUGAUUUUUAAAAUUUUUGGAUUGAAGACGUUUCAGGUUUUAUUUUCAUCUCAUGGACUGAGAGAGAGG